This 443-nucleotide ribosomal RNA is filed under the name Brachybacterium rhamnosum. Its description in RNAcentral is "bacterial SSU rRNA". It matches the Rfam family "Bacterial small subunit ribosomal RNA", at positions 113 to 571 of the family's 1533-position model. Lineage: Bacteria; Bacillati; Actinomycetota; Actinomycetes; Micrococcales; Dermabacteraceae. The record is from RNAcentral.
ACACGUGAGCAACCUGCCCUUCACUCUGGGAUAACCUCGGGAAAUCGGGGCUAAUACCGGAUAUGAGCUCCUGUCGCAUGGCGGGUGUUGGAAAGUUUUUCGGUGAAGGAUGGGCUCGCGGCCUAUCAGUUUGUUGGUGAGGUAGUGGCUCACCAAGGCGAUGACGGGUAGCCGGCCUGAGAGGGCGACCGGCCACACUGGGACUGAGACACGGCCCAGACUCCUACGGGAGGCAGCAGUGGGGAAUAUUGCACAAUGGGCGAAAGCCUGAUGCAGCGACGCCGCGUGAGGGAUGACGGCCUUCGGGUUGUAAACCUCUUUCAGCAGGGAAGAAGCGAAAGUGACGGUACCUGCAGAAGAAGCGCCGGCUAACUACGUGCCAGCAGCCGCGGUAAUACGUAGGGCGCAAGCGUUGUCCGGAAUUAUUGGGCGUAAAGAGCUUG